RNAcentral lists this unclassified non-coding RNA (433 nucleotides) under soil metagenome. Its description in RNAcentral is "partial contains 5.8S ribosomal RNA, internal transcribed spacer 2, and large subunit ribosomal RNA". The stretch from base 1 to 120 matches the Rfam family "5.8S ribosomal RNA", at positions 35 to 154 of the family's 154-position model. The record is from RNAcentral.
GAUGAAGAACGCAGCGAAAUGCGAUACGUAAUGUGAAUUGCAGAAUUCAGUGAAUCAUCGAAUCUUUGAACGCAUAUUGCGCUCUCUGGUAUUCCGGAGAGCAUGCUUGUUUGAGUAUCAGUAAACACCUCAACUUCCAUAUCUUUUUUGAAAUGGGAGUUGGACUUGAGUGAUCCCAACGCUUUUCCUCACCGAAAAGUGGCGGGUUACUUGAAAUGCAGGUGCAGCUGGACUUUUCUCUGAGCUAUAAGCAUAUCUAUUUAGUCUGCCUAAAAAACAGAUUAUUACCUUUGCUGCAGCUAACAUAAAGGAGAUUAGUUCUUGUGCUGACUGAUGCAGGAUUCACAACGACAGGCUUCGGCCGACUUUGUAAACUCGAUCUCAAAUCAAGUAAGACUACCCGCUGAACUUAAGCAUAUCAAUAAGCGGAGGA